CGCGUAGGCGGCUGCCACAGUCAGGCGUGAAAUUCCCGGGCUCAACCUGGGGGCUGCGUUUGAUACGUGAUGGCUUGAGUUCGGAAGAGGGUCGUGGAAUUCCCAGUGUAGAGGUGAAAUUCGUAGAUAUUGGGAAGAACACCGGUGGCGAAGGCGGCGACCUGGUCCGAUACUGACGCUGAGGCGCGAAAGCGUGGGGAGCAAACAGGAUUAGAUACCCUGGUAGUCCACGCCGUAAACGAUGUGCGCUGGAUGUUGGGCGACCUAGUCGCUCAGUGUCGUAGCUAACGCGAUAAGCGCACCGCCUGGGGAGUACGGCCGCAAGGUUGAA
RNAcentral lists this ribosomal RNA (331 nucleotides) under uncultured bacterium. Its description in RNAcentral is "bacterial SSU rRNA". It matches the Rfam family "Bacterial small subunit ribosomal RNA", at positions 568 to 898 of the family's 1533-position model. The record is from RNAcentral.